UGUACGCGUAGCUCAGCUGGAUAGAGCGUCUGACUACGGAUCAGAAGGCCGGGAGUUCGAAUCUUCUCGCGUACAU
Molecule: transfer RNA, 76 nt
Filed under: uncultured Lachnospira sp.
Lineage: Bacteria; Bacillati; Bacillota; Clostridia; Lachnospirales; Lachnospiraceae
Description: tRNA-Arg(acg)
Rfam family: tRNA
About the family: Transfer RNA (tRNA) molecules are approximately 80 nucleotides in length. Their secondary structure includes four short double-helical elements and three loops (D, anti-codon, and T loops).
Source: RNAcentral